CUUAAUUUCAUAGUAUAUUAUAAUAAUAUAGUAUCAUAACUUACUAGAUCUAUGAACUUGUCAACAUUUAUUGUGUUUUAAAUAAUAACAUUGAUAUUAAAUAUCCAUAAUCAAUGUGAAUACCAAGAUGGAGUUUUGCUCAAGUGACAAGUCUAUAAAACCUAUAACCUUACUUAUAAAAUGUAUGCACAUCAAAUAUCAAAAUUAAAGUAUUAUGUCUUUGUUCUGAGAAACUUAUAAAUGUGUAGUUUUGUGUUUUAACAUAUUGGUAUCUGAAUUCAAAGAAAAAAUAUAAAAUUUUUUAUGAAAAAAUUGAAUCUUCAAUCAUCAUUUACUGAAUCAAUAAUAGUAUGUUCAAUAUUAAUAUGGACUAUCUCAACUUAAAUUGAUAUUUGUUAUUGUCUACAACUACACUACUACCAACGUCAAAUUUGGUGUAUUAUAUUAUUGUAGUCAAUCAGUCUAAUCUAAUUCCAUCAAUACAUUGUCGAAUGUUGUGGUAUUCAAUUUUCAGUAAAUUUAUAGGUGUUUUAUUUUAAGUUACUGUGGCACACUAUUGCAGAUAACGGUUUUCCAUUAAGUCAGUAAGAAGAAUAAGAUGGAUUCACAAGUUCAAAUCAAAUAUUAGACAACUAUAUAUAUUUAAUUAUUCAGCUAAAAAUGUAAUUCAAUAAAAUAAUUUAAAAGUACUUUAUCAUUUUAAAAGUGACAUAAAGUUUUUAAACUCUAAGUAUUUAAACACACAUAU
Long non-coding RNA from Adelges cooleyi (spruce gall adelgid), 748 nucleotides. RefSeq lists it as uncharacterized. The record is from RefSeq and is a predicted model, not a curated record. The transcript is spliced from 4 exons. Lineage: Eukaryota; Metazoa; Arthropoda; Insecta; Hemiptera; Adelgidae.